GGGCCCAUAGCUCAGCGGUUAGAGCAGUCGGCUCAUAACCGAAAGGUCCCAGGUUCAAAUCCUGGUGGGCCCACCA
This 76-nucleotide transfer RNA is filed under the name Candidatus Babelota bacterium. Its description in RNAcentral is "tRNA-Ile". It matches the Rfam family "tRNA". Rfam says of the family: Transfer RNA (tRNA) molecules are approximately 80 nucleotides in length. Their secondary structure includes four short double-helical elements and three loops (D, anti-codon, and T loops). Further hydrogen bonds mediate the characteristic L-shaped molecular structure. tRNAs have two regions of fundamental functional importance: the anti-codon, which is responsible for specific mRNA codon recognition, and the 3' end, to which the tRNAs corresponding amino acid is attached (by aminoacyl-tRNA synthetases). tRNAs cope with the degeneracy of the genetic code in two manners: having more than one tRNA (with a specific anti-codon) for a particular amino acid; and 'wobble' base-pairing, i.e. permitting non-standard base-pairing at the 3rd anti-codon position. RNAcentral also lists the same sequence under 2 other names. The record is from RNAcentral.